AUGAACGCUGGCGGCGGCCUAACACAUGCAAGUCGAACGGUAACAUUUCUAGCUUGCUAGAAGAUGACGAGUGGCGGACGGGUGAGUAAUGCUUGGGAACUUGCCUUUGCGAGGGGGAUAACAGUUGGAAACGACUGCUAAUACCGCAUAAUGUCUUCGGACCAAACGGGGCUUCGGCUCCGGCGCAAAGAGAGGCCCAAGUGAGAUUAGCUAGUUGGUAAGGUAACGGCUUACCAAGGCGACGAUCUCUAGCUGUUCUGAGAGGAAGAUCAGCCACACUGGGACUGAGACACGGCCCAGACUCCUACGGGAGGCAGCAGUGGGGAAUAUUGCACAAUGGGGGAAACCCUGAUGCAGCCAUGCCGCGUGUGUGAAGAAGGCCUUCGGGUUGUAAAGCACUUUCAGUUGUGAGGAAAAGUUAGUAGUUAAUACCUGCUAGCCGUGACGUUAACAACAGAAGAAGCACCGGCUAACUCCGUGCCAGCAGCCGCGGUAAUACGGAGGGUGCGAGCGUUAAUCGGAAUUACUGGGCGUAAAGCGCACGCAGGCGGUUUGUUAAGCUAGAUGUGAAAGCCCCGGGCUCAACCUGGGAUGGUCAUUUAGAACUGGCAGACU
RNAcentral lists this ribosomal RNA (615 nucleotides) under uncultured bacterium. RNAcentral describes it as "bacterial SSU rRNA". It matches the Rfam family "Bacterial small subunit ribosomal RNA", at positions 29 to 642 of the family's 1533-position model. The record is from RNAcentral.